RNAcentral lists this ribosomal RNA (229 nucleotides) under uncultured bacterium. Its description in RNAcentral is "partial 16S ribosomal RNA". It matches the Rfam family "Bacterial small subunit ribosomal RNA", at positions 568 to 796 of the family's 1533-position model. The record is from RNAcentral.
UCCGUAGGUGGAUGAUUAAGUCAGAGGUGAAAUCCUGCAGCUCAACUGUAGAAUUGCCUUUGAUACUGGUCGUCUUGAGUCAUUGUGAAGUAGUUAGAAUAUGUAGUGUAGCGGUGAAAUGCAUAGAUAUUACAUAGAAUACCAAUUGCGAAGGCAGAUUACUAACAAUGCACUGACACUGAUGGACGAAAGCGUGGGGAGCGAACAGGAUUAGAUACCCUGGUAGUCC